This 274-nucleotide ribosomal RNA is filed under the name uncultured bacterium. RNAcentral describes it as "partial 16S ribosomal RNA". It matches the Rfam family "Bacterial small subunit ribosomal RNA", at positions 523 to 796 of the family's 1533-position model. The record is from RNAcentral.
AUACGAAGGGGGCUAGCGUUGUUCGGAAUCACUGGGCGUAAAGCGCGCGUAGGUGGAUCAAUUAGUUGAGGGUGAAAUCCCGGGGCGCAACCUCGGAACUGCCUUCAAUACUGUUGAUCUUGAGACCGAGAGAGGUGAGUGGAAUUCCUAGUGUAGAGGUGAAAUUCGUAGAUAUUAGGAAGAACACCAGUGGCGAAGGCGGCUCACUGGCUCGGUACUGACGCUGAGGUGCGAAAGCGUGGGGAGCAAACAGGAUUAGAAACCCUAGUAGUCC